CACCUCUCAGGGGGGCACCUGGAGAGUUUCCAGUCCUCUACCAGUCUCGACUAUGGGAGGGAGAGUCAAGCAGAGGCAUAGCCAUUCCAAUCCUAGCUUGGGAAGUGGCUAACGAGUGGAAGACAAUCUGCUCCAAAU
Small nucleolar RNA from Ornithorhynchus anatinus (platypus), 138 nucleotides. NCBI's taxonomy places the organism in Eukaryota, Metazoa, Chordata, Mammalia, Monotremata, Ornithorhynchidae. The record is from RefSeq and is a predicted model, not a curated record.